UCCCUUUCACCGUCAUCCAUGAGAAGACACAGUGUUCCAUCCAGAGGAUGUAGCAUCAAGGCGUCAUCUUAAAAGCAGAGAAAAGACUCUUACUUGACACCAGAUGCCAGUGCAUUGAUCUUGGACUUCCCAGCCUCUAGAACUGUAAACAGCCCUGGGACAAAGAACAGACUACGGGUAUUGCCUUCUUAAUCAACAAUAAAGUAUUAGUUGGCUUCCAGGCAGACACCACUGACUUUCAAGAGAAAGGCACGGGAGUAAGGAAGUAAAGAAUUCAGGUGCUGCUUGAAAAUACAACAAACUGUCUUCAGAAUACUUUUAUGUGUUGUUGAAAGAAAGCACUGCAGCUAAUAUAGCUACAAAGGAGAAACAGUUAUUCUUAAAUGUCAUCUAUUUGCUGGACCUGAACAGGAAUUCACUAUGGAGCUCAUACAACUACCACCUUCAGCUAUUAAUCAAGGAGUCAUUCAACUGAGAAAGGGGAGAUUGAGAUGUUGAAUCAUUUCUCAUUCUGUGAAGUCUACCAGAAUAACCCAUAAAGCAAAUAUCAACCUAUUUCAAGCCAAAAUAAAUGGAUGUGAAGCAGAUUGGACUCAAAGCAUUGAAAUCAAGACUUUGGCAUUAACUAACUCUGUGUGUUUAGACAAAAUGGAAUCAUCUUGAAGAACACAGAUUAUCAGGCCUUACCCUAGAGUUUCUUACUCAGUACCUCUGGUGUGAGAGCACAAAAACUGGCCUUUAUAACAAGUCCUCAUGUGAUGCUGAUGCUGUUAGACUGGAAGCCACGCUCGUGAACCAUGGGUUUAGAUAUCACUGGGACCCUCAUGGAGCCCAUUUUCUCAGGCGUAGAAUGUGACUGAAGACCACUUACCACCAAAGAAUUUAUCUGGGAGAAGUCCUUUUUAAAAGCAUAUACAUAUUUUUUUUAAUAUGUACACAUUCUUAAAAGAAUUAUUUUCAGUUAUAAUCUAGGACCACUCCACUGAUCUGACUACUUUAUGAGAAACAUAAUCAGAUUAUUAUAACAUAUGAAGACUGUCAGUGGUACAUUCUAGUGUCACCCUGGAUAUUAUAUUAUUGAAAGUAAAUGGAAUUAUGGGAUUUUUGGGGGGUGGGGAGUGACAGAAUAUUUGCUUUCAUUACUUUUAGGAUGCCCCAUCUAUAGCUAUUCUUUCCUCUUGCUUUCUGGUAUUCUUUUGACAGUUAGAAAAAUGAAAAAUACUGAUACAGCAGACGAAUUCUGGAACUAACACUUCCACAAAUCAUUGAUAAUCCAUUUUCCAACUUCUUCAAAUUCCAGACCAUCAACAAGCUAUUCAAAACAAUAAAUGUUAAUAGUUUUGGUGGAGUUAAGCAGCAGAAGUUAAAAGCAUUGUGGAAGACAGUAUGGUGAUUCCUCAAGGAUCUAGAAGCGGAAAUACCAUUUGACCCAGCAAUCCCAU
RNAcentral lists this long non-coding RNA (1442 nucleotides) under Homo sapiens (human). RNAcentral's name for it is "HSALNT0294319". The record is from RNAcentral. Lineage: Eukaryota; Metazoa; Chordata; Mammalia; Primates; Hominidae.